AGUCGAACGAGAAAGUAUGUUUGAGGUCAAGUAAAGUGGCGAACGGGUGAGUAACACGUGGGUAAUCUGCCCUGAAGUUGGGGACAACUCGCUGAAAAGCGAGCUAAUACCGAAUGAGAUAGUCUUUACAUAUGUGAGGAUUAUGAAAGGUUUCGGCCGCUUCAGGAUGAGCCUGCGGUCUAUUAGCUAGUUGGUGAGGUAAAUGCUCACCAAGGCUACGAUAGAUAGCCGGCCUGAGAGGGUGUACGGUCACAUUGGAACUGAGACACGGUCCAGACUCCUACGGGAGGCAGCAGCUAAUAAUAUUAUGCCGCAGAUGGGCGAAAGCCUGACGGAGCGACGCCGUGUGGUUGAUGAAGGCCUUACAGGUUGUAAAAACCUUUUAUUUGAGAAGAUGGGCAAGCCUCGAGCUUGCUUGACGGUAUCGAACGAAUAAGCCCCGGCAAAUUACGUGCCAGCAGCCGCGGUAAUACGUAAGGGGCUAGCGUUGUUCGGAAUUAUUGGGCGUAAAGGGCGUGCAGGCGGACUAAUAAGUCGGGUGUGAAAUCUUAUGGCUUAACCAUGAGCUAUUGCUCGAAACUGUUAGUCUAGAGUUUGGAAUAGGGAGACGGAAUUCCUAGUGUAGGAGUGAACUCUAUAGAUAUUAGGAAGAACACCGGGUGGCGAAGGCGGUCUCCUGGUCUAAAACUGACGCUAAAGCGCGAAAGCUAGGGUAGCAAACGGGAUUAGAUACCCCGGUAGUCCUAGCCGUUAACGUUGCCUACUAGGUGUA
This 772-nucleotide ribosomal RNA is filed under the name uncultured organism. RNAcentral's name for it is "bacterial SSU rRNA". It matches the Rfam family "Bacterial small subunit ribosomal RNA", at positions 60 to 824 of the family's 1533-position model. The record is from RNAcentral.